RNAcentral lists this ribosomal RNA (253 nucleotides) under uncultured bacterium. RNAcentral describes it as "partial 16S ribosomal RNA". It matches the Rfam family "Bacterial small subunit ribosomal RNA", at positions 524 to 776 of the family's 1533-position model. The record is from RNAcentral.
UACGUAGGGUGCGAGCGUUAAUCGGAAUUACUGGGCGUAAAGCGUGCGCAGGCGGUUCGUUGUGUCGGCGGUGAAAGCCCCGGGCUCAACCUGGGAAUGGCCGUUGAAACUGGCGAACUGGAGUGUGGCAGAGGGGGGUGGAAUUCCCGGUGUAGCAGUGAAAUGCGUAGAUAUCGGGAGGAAUACCGAUGGCGAAGGCAGGUCUCUGGGCUAUAACUGACGCUCAUGCACGAAAGCGUGGGGAGCAAACAGG